This 271-nucleotide ribosomal RNA is filed under the name uncultured prokaryote. RNAcentral describes it as "partial 16S ribosomal RNA". It matches the Rfam family "Bacterial small subunit ribosomal RNA", at positions 525 to 777 of the family's 1533-position model. The record is from RNAcentral.
ACAGAGGGGGCAAGCGUUGCUCGGAAUUACUGGGCGUAAAGGGCGCGUAGGCGGGAUGGCAAGUCGGUCGUGAAAUCCCUCGGCUCAACCGAGGAACGUCGAUCGAUACUGCUGUUCUUGAGGAUUGCAGAGGAGACUGGAAUUCCCGGUGUAGCGGUGAAAUGUGUAGAGAUCGGGAGGAACACCGGUGGCGAAGGCGGCCCGCUGGGCAGGAAGACCCCGUGAGGGGUCGGCUGACGCUGAGGCGCGACAGCGUGGGGAGCAAACAGGA